UACGAAGGGAGCUAGCGUUGUUCGGAAUCACUGGGCGUAAAGCGCACGUAGGCGGAUGUGUCAGUCAGGGGUGAAAUCCCGGAGCUCAACCUCGGAACUGCCUUUGAUACUGCAAGUCUCGAGUCCGAUAGAGGUGAGUGGAAUUCCUAGUGUAGAGGUGAAAAUUCGUAGAUAUUAGGAAGAACACCAGGUGGCGAAGGCGGCUCACUGGAUCGGUACGUGACGCUGAGGUGACGAAAGCGUGGGGAGCAAAGCAGGAGU
This 261-nucleotide ribosomal RNA is filed under the name uncultured bacterium. Its description in RNAcentral is "partial 16S ribosomal RNA". It matches the Rfam family "Bacterial small subunit ribosomal RNA", at positions 524 to 779 of the family's 1533-position model. The record is from RNAcentral.